AUUGAACGCUGGCGGCAGGCCUAACACAUGCAAGUCGAGCGGAUGAAGGGAGCUUGCUCCUGGAUUCAGCGGCGGACGGGUGAGUAAUGCCUAGGAAUCUGCCUGGUAGUGGGGGAUAACGUCCGGAAACGGGCGCUAAUACCGCAUACGCCCUGAGGGAGAAAGUGGGGGAUCUUCGGACCUCACGCUAUCAGAUGAGCCUAGGUCGGAUUAUCUAGUUGGUGGGGUAAAGGCCUACCAAGGCGACGAUCCGUAACUGGUCUGAGAGGAUGUUCAGUCACACUGUAGCUGAGACACGUCUCAGAGCCCUACAGUAGGCCGCCGUGGGGAAUAUUAGGCAGUGGGCGCUAGCCUAGUCCAUCCACACCGCGUGUGUGAAGAAGGUCUUCGGAUUGUAAAGCACUUUAAGUUGGGAGGAAGGGCAGUAAGUUAAUACCUUGCUGUUUUGACGUUACCAACAGAAUAAGCCCCGGCUAACUUCGUG
RNAcentral lists this ribosomal RNA (484 nucleotides) under uncultured bacterium. Its description in RNAcentral is "partial 16S ribosomal RNA". It matches the Rfam family "Bacterial small subunit ribosomal RNA", at positions 30 to 507 of the family's 1533-position model. The record is from RNAcentral.